This 253-nucleotide ribosomal RNA is filed under the name uncultured bacterium. RNAcentral describes it as "partial 16S ribosomal RNA". It matches the Rfam family "Bacterial small subunit ribosomal RNA", at positions 524 to 776 of the family's 1533-position model. The record is from RNAcentral.
UACGUAGGCCCCGAGCAUUAUCCGGAAUUACUGGGCGUAAAGAGCGUGUAGGUGUUCGUACAAGUUGGUCGUUAAAUCUCACCGCCUAACGGUGAGGCCGCGAGCAAAACUGUACGAAUUGAGGUUUGCAGGGGCUAGCAGAAUUUCUGGAGUAGGGGUGAAAUCCGUUGAUACCAGAAGGAAUACCAAUGGCGAAGGCAGCUAGCUGGGCAAGACCUGACACUGAGACGCGAAAGCGUGGGGAGCAAACGGG